UGAGUAACCUGCCCCAGACUCUGGAAUAACCCCGGGAAACCGGAGCUAAUACCGGAUACGAGACGAAGCUGCAUGGCUAUCGUCUGGAAAGUUUUUCGGUCUGGGAUGGACUCGCGGCCUAUCAGCUUGUUGGUGAGGUAAUGGCUCACCAAGGCGACGACGGGUAGCCGGCCUGAGAGGGCGACCGGCCACACUGGGACUGAGACACGGCCCAGACUCCUACGGGAGGCAG
RNAcentral lists this ribosomal RNA (232 nucleotides) under uncultured bacterium. RNAcentral describes it as "partial 16S ribosomal RNA". It matches the Rfam family "Bacterial small subunit ribosomal RNA", at positions 118 to 351 of the family's 1533-position model. The record is from RNAcentral.